UACCGUGGGCGGCAGUGGAGUGGCGGAGGUGGGGCGCGGCUCCAGCGACCCGAGCCCCGCUCCGCAGCGGCUGUGGUGGUCGCAUCCUUUAUUUUUGCGGCAGCGGCUACGACUUGUCAAAGGGAAAGAGGUCUCUUUGGCUAUGUUGGUUCCAUUUCUUUCAACAUGCCCCCAGACCCAGGCUGAUGGGGCUGGUGCCCCUCCUGACCUGAGUGAGAGGAGAUGCUUCUGUAAUAUCCCCAAGAGGCCCUGUGUGGAUUCCUGCUCAUUGCAGUUGCCCUGCACAGAAUGAGUUGGCACCAUGGGCUGCACAACCCAAUUCCACAGUUUCACCUCUCCCUGAAUCAAACCCUGCCACUUCAAAAGCAACCGAAGACAACAACUGCUCAGCCAGUGACCUAGGAUGAUAUAAAGGUGCUGAUCCACUCUGCCCAAGGCUUGCUCCGUGCAUCUGAAGAGGAGCCCACUGCUGAAAAGCUGCUUGUGGCGGUAUUUACCAAAUUGGCAAUGAACUCUUUAAUGCCUGUUUGUAUUCUAUUGCUAUGUGUUUUACAACCCACCAUGGAGACUUUAUAGAGUCCCACAACCUCCAAGAAAGAUUGGAAUGCAAUAUUUGGGUUCAACUGGCAAAAAUAACUCUCAUUUCUGUCUUACUCAAAAGACACAAAUAAAAUACAUUCUCGGGUCCUGUCUGAUUCCGGUUUGCGAGGACCUGCCUUUCUAAGUAAUUACAUCAUUUUCUCCAAUAUUCCAAACGAAAUUGUAACAUAUGCUGAUUAUCCAAAAUGGAGCACUCCCGCCCUUAAAAAACCUGAUAAUGCUGUUAAAAUGUUCACUCCAUAUGUAGCAACUUCAAAUGCCUCUUUCUCAUACUGAAAAUUGUACUACUCAAUAUCUUUACCUUCCUCAUAGUACUUAGAAUUGUUCUAGCUAUGAGCCCAUAUUGUAUAGACAUAGACAUGUUCCUGUCCCUGCUGGAUGGUUUUUCUCUUGUGAAGAGUAGAUCUUCAGUUAUAUCCCUGCAAACUUAUAAUACAAAAUGCUGCCUUAGUCACCUUAUUAUAGUGUUGCCUUCCCCUGAAUUUAUACUGUCUCACACCAAACGGUCUACAACUAAUAUCACUGACCUAUGUGGGGACUUUUCUAUUAGCCUAUUAACCAAAACAGAAUUUAUACUUUAGGUAUUUCUUUGGUUGGUGUGCCUGCUCUGGCAGCCAAGGCCAAUCGCACUAUUAAUGCACAGGCUUGUCUUAUAGUAAAGCAAAUUAAUUAUACUUCCACAGUUUUGGCAUUAUUAAACAAAGAACAAAGUGAGCACCAACAAUUCAUUUUAGAUAAUUGUGCUGCAACUGAUUAUCUACUUCUAUUGCAUCAUCAUGGAUGUAAUGAAAUUGCUCAAAUGUGCUGUUUCAAUUUGUCUGAUGAAAGUAAAUUCAAUGGGAAAGUAAAUUCAAUGGGAAACUUCAUAAUUUACAAGAACUUACCAGAUACAUAUGUCCCAAGGGAUCAAUACUGGAUUAUGGAAUUUCCUUACAGGAUGGUUUCCAGACAUCAAUUGGCUAAAAAAAAUGUUUCUUUAUGGUGCUAUUGUCCUUAUCUGCUGGCAUCCCAUCCCUAUACAAAAUGUUCAUACCUAUCCCUAGACAAAAUGUUCAUACCUAUCCCUAUACAAAAUGUUCAUACCUAUCCCUAUACAAAAUGUUCAUACCUAAAUGCCAGCUUCUAACAUGGUAAGAAAGCCUAAACUAAAAAAAAGAAAGGGGAGAUAUAGAGAGGCCACUCUGACUCCAUUUUGUCCCAGACACAUCCAGCUGAUAACAUUAUAGGGAAAAAUGUAGCCUUGAAACAUGGCUCCCACCCCAAGGUAAAAACAUGAGGUCUUGUAAGGUCAAGAAGCAAACAAGUUAUAUAAUCUAAGCAUGUGCGAUUUGAGUUUCUUUGUUCUUUAUCAAUAAAAGUUACUUGCUUAGGCUGGCCUGGUGGCAGCCAUUUUGCUGUGUGUGUGUGAGACCCUUUAUUUUCCCUUUGCUUGCAGAACCCCAACAAUUAUGCCUUUCAGCAUAAACAGAAUCAAAGAAGUACACACGAGUGCGGGCACUCAAGGGUAAGGCACACUGGUAUGGUCUGGAGUUGGAGAUACUUUUAUGGUCUGGGGAGUAUCCUCUAGACCUAUGAUCCAGGGUGUGUAUAUCUGGUAUCAGGUCAUGCUUUCCUGGCCUGGGUUAAAAUGCAACCCAUUUACAUGUAUUUAAAGUUUGGAUAUGGUACUUAAGUUAGUAGUGCUGUUUCAUUGAGGGUAGAAAUCUGUGGGAUUUGUGAAUUUCUACUGUGGAAAAAAAAGCACAGGCCUAAUAUACACAAUUUUAAAGAAUCUUAGGAAUGAGGAGCAAGAGACUUAGAAAGGAAAAAACAGGUCUACGACUGAAAAUAGUAUUGUAGGAGAUCCACGCCAUGUUGGAGCUUAGGACUCUGGGAAGCCAAGCCAGCAUCUCCCCUCCCUGGUAAGUGGCAGUAGUUUAGCCCACUGCAGCCCUUCCAGGGGGAGAACUAGCAGUGUCUCCUGAGAUCCACGCCAUGCUGGAGCUUAGGACUCCUGGAAGCCAAGCCAGCAUCUCCCCUCCCUGUAAGCGGAGGCAGGGUGGCAGCCUGCAGCCCUUCCAGGGGGAGAACUAGCAGUGUCUCCUGAGAUCCACGCCAUGCUGGAACUUAGGGCUCUGCAAAGCCAAGCCAGCACCUCCCCUCCCUGGUAAGCGGCAGUAGUUUAGCCCACUGCAGCCCUUCCAGGGGGAGAACUAGCAGUGUCUCCUGAGAUCCACGCCAUGUUGGAGCUUAGGACUCCUGGAAGCCAAGCCAGCAUCUCCCCUCCCUGUAAGCGGAGGCAGGGUGGCAGCCUGCAGCCCUUCCAGGGGGAGAACUAGCAGUGUCUCCUGAAAUCCACGCCAUGCUGGAGCUUAGGACUCCUGGAAGCCAAGCCAGCAUCUCCCCUCCCUGUAAGUGGAGGCAGGGUGGCAGCCUGCAGCCCUUCCAGGGGGAGAACUAGCAGUGUCUCCUGAGAUCCACGCCAUGCUGGAACUUAGGACUCUACGAAGCCAAGCCAGCACUUCCCCUCCCUGGUAAAUGGCGGUAAUUUAGCCCACUGCAGCCCUUCCAGGGGGAGAACUAGCAGUGUCUACUGAGAUCCACGCCAUGCUGGAGCUUAGGACUCGGGAAGCCAAGCCAGCAUCUCCCCUCCCUGUAAGCGGAGGCAGGGUGGCAGCCUGCAGCCUUUCCAGGGGGAGAACUAGCAGUGUCUCCUGAGAUCCACGCCAUGCUGGAACUUAGGACUCUGCGAAGCCAAGCCAGCAUCUCCCCUCCCUGGUAAGUGGCGGUAGUUUAGCCCACUGCAGCCUUUCCAGGGGGAGAACUAGCAGUGUCUCCUGAGAUCCACGCCAUGUUGGAGCUUAGGACUCUGGGAAUCCAAGCCAGCACCUCCCUCCCUGGUAAGUGGUGGUGGUGUAGCCCACUGCAGCCCUUCCAGGGGGAGAACUAGCAGUGUCUCCUGAGAUCCACGCCAUGUUGGAGCUUAGGACUCUGGGAAGGCAAGCCAGCACCUCCCCUCCCUGGUAAGUGGCGGUAGUUUAGCCCACUGCACCCCUUCCAGGGGGAGAACUAGCAGUGUCUCCUGAGAUCCAUGCCAUGUUGGAGCUUAGGACUCUGGGAAGCCAAGUUAGCAUCUCCCCUCCCUGUAAGCGGAGGCAGGGUGGCAGCCUGCAGCCCUUCCAGGGGGAGAACUAGCAGUGUCUCCUGAGAUCCACGCCAUGCUGGAACUUAGGACUCUGCGAAGCCAAGCCAGCAUCUCCCCUUCCUGGUAAGCGGCGGUAGUUUAGCCCACUGCAGCCCUUCAAGGGGGAGAACUAGCAGUGUCUCCUGAGAUCCACGCCAUGCUGGAGCUUAGGACUCCUGGAAGCCAAGCCAGCAUCUCCCCUCCCUGUAAAAGACAGACACUAUGGUAACUACUAUUAAGUCGGGUUAUUUGGUGGUGAAGCACGAGGUUGCUGAAACAGUCAUGCUUUGACCUGUAUUGUUAUUUUGUUAUGUCCUGUUUUAUCUCAAUCUCUCUCUUAUUCUUUAAAAAAAUUAUUUAGUUAUUUCUUAUGUUUGUUUUAAUUAAGGGGAAAAUUUUUAAAAACUAGCAGGAUAUAUAAUAGUAACUCUUUUUGAUUUCCUAUUAACUUGUUUUGAAGUCUUGUAAUACUCCCAUGAUCUUGUUUUGACUGAUUAGACUCUGUUCCAUUCUGUAUGAUAGUAUCAAGUUUGAGGGUAUAAGCAACUACUUCGAAGGCAAUAAGAUUCACUAAGAAGCCCGUUCUGGUUUGACUAUUGUCUCCUUUGGAAGUCCUGUAAUGUUUACAAUGCCUAAGUUUUAUUGGUCUUGUUCUCUACUGUUUUGUUCAACUUUAUAAUAUCUAAUGAGAUAGACAAUUCUUUUUAAGGAAACAAGACACAUCGUUGAUAACCAUUGUUGAUAACCUUGUACUGUUUUACAUCAUGUGCUAUGUCUAUCCUUGGUUUUGACUGACAGCUUUGUUUUACCAUAUUUGACUUUAUUCUCUCCCCCCCAAAAAAGUAAUAAGAACUAAGGAGUAAUAAAAUCCAAAAUGUGUAAAUUUUGUUGUAAAAAAGAGAGGGGGAAAAAAUGAGCUCUAAUGGAUAUAACAGCAAGUGUGUUUAGGGGUGUUAAAUAGCUGACUAUAUUAAUGUUUUUGGAUCAUUGAACACAGCUGUUUGCAGUCUCUCUGUUUGAAUGUCCACUUUGUAUUCUUUGAUACUGUGAUUUGAGCAACUAUUUCUAAGAUGAUAAUAUGUAAUCUAUUAACAGGUGAUUUCUUACUGUUUUUUUGUUGUUGUUGUUGUUGUUUGUUUGUAGUUCUGUAUUACGUAUACCCUUACACCGCUUUGUUUUGUUUUGUGUUUUUCUCUUUUUCCUUUUAAAUAAAAUUUAAAAAAAAGAAAAAAAA
Molecule: long non-coding RNA, 4997 nt
Organism: Cavia porcellus (domestic guinea pig)
Lineage: Eukaryota; Metazoa; Chordata; Mammalia; Rodentia; Caviidae
Exons: 2
Source: RefSeq, a predicted model, not a curated record